RNAcentral lists this long non-coding RNA (324 nucleotides) under Homo sapiens (human). RNAcentral's name for it is "non-protein coding lnc-DPYD-8:1". Lineage: Eukaryota; Metazoa; Chordata; Mammalia; Primates; Hominidae. The record is from RNAcentral.
AAACAUUCUCCUUUCCUUCUGAAGGUUUUAUGGAUAAUAUUCAUUUAGCCUUCUGAGCUUUCUGGGCAGACUUGGUGACCUUGCCAGCUCCAGCAGCCUUCUUGUCCACUGCUGGUCUCAAAUUUCCACAAGGAGAUAUCAAUGGUGAUACCACGUUCACGCUCAGCUUUCAGUUUAUCCAAGACUCAGGCAUACUUGAAGGAGCCCUUUCCCAUCUCAGCAGCCUCUUUCUGCAUCUUUUCUUUUCCCAUUUUGGCUUUUAGGGGUAGUUUUCACGACACCUGUGUUCUGGCAGCAAACCCGUUAAUUUUUAAUAGUUUUUUU